Molecule: long non-coding RNA, 620 nt
Organism: Arachis duranensis
Lineage: Eukaryota; Viridiplantae; Streptophyta; Magnoliopsida; Fabales; Fabaceae
Exons: 2
Source: RefSeq, a predicted model, not a curated record
UAUAUGUGUCUGUAGUCUGCAGAACUCUGAAGCUGCUUCCUCAGCUCGACCGAUUUGCGAUCCAAGGUGAAGGUUGUGAAAUUUUCUCUUUUUCCCAAAUUGGUAUGUGCGAAUUUUCAGCUUCUUAGUUUGCAGGGUAAUUUGAAGGAUUCUGGUUUCAUACUAGCUGCUAAAGUAAUAAAGAUGGAUUCUGACGAGGGCAUCUUAGGACACACUCCCUUGCAAAAGGGCGACACCUGUGACUGUGAGAACAACGCAUCCUCCCAGUCUCCACAUGAACAAGGUAUGAAUAAAAGACCUGCGAGAUUAAAUUUGUAUGAGAUCUGUGCUGCAAACCAUUGGAGGCCCCCUCUAUUUGAAUGUUACAAACAGGAUCGUCCAUGCCAUCAGAUAAUGUAAUUCUUCCGGCUAUGAUAUAGUACACCUAUUCUCACACAAUAAUUCUGUAUUUUAGUGUUUAAUGAUACUCGCUAGAUUUAUUACUUUUCAUUUUUGUUUACAAGAUUUAUUCUCUUUCAUGUAGUUAUCCGGCUAUGUACAUUCAACUUCCAAGCAGUUGUAACAAAAUUUGCCUUCAUUAGUCUUUGUGACAAAAUUAUAGUAUAAACUUCCGGCUGAUA